AUUGAACGCUGGCGGCAUGCUUUACACAUGCAAGUCGAACGGUAACAGGGUGCUUGCACCGCUGACGAGUGGCGAACGGGUGAGUAAUGCGUCGGAACGUGCCGAGUAGUGGGGGAUAACGCAGCGAAAGUUGUGCUAAUACCGCAUACGUACUGAGGUAGAAAGUGGGGGACCUUCGGGCCUCACGCUAUUCGAGCGGCCGACGUCUGAUUAGCUAGUAGGUGAGGUAAAGGCUCACCUAGGCGACGAUCAGUAGCGGGUCUGAGAGGAUGAUCCGCCACACUGGGACUGAGACACGGCCCAGACUCCUACGGGAGGCAGCAGUGGGGAAUUUUGGACAAUGGGCGAAAGCCUGAUCCAGCCAUGCCGCGUCUGAAGAAGGCCUUCGGGUUGUAAAGGACUUUUGUCAGGGAGGAAAUCCCUAGUGCUAAUAACACUGGGGGAUGACAGUACCUGAAGAAUAAGCACCGGCUAACUACGUGCCAGCCGCCGCAGUAA
This 498-nucleotide ribosomal RNA is filed under the name uncultured bacterium. RNAcentral describes it as "partial 16S ribosomal RNA". It matches the Rfam family "Bacterial small subunit ribosomal RNA", at positions 30 to 523 of the family's 1533-position model. The record is from RNAcentral.